UAUCGUUUGUCAUUUGUUUUUAGGUUAUGAUGACGAAAAACUGGAAAACGCCAGAUUUGUUCGGAUAAGCGACAGACAACCAAGCUAAUGCAAAAUAUUACUUUUGCAUUUUUCAAAUUACAAAUUUACAUUCUUUUCUUCCCUAGGUAUAUAUUGUGUGAAGGACUUUCUUCUGCUGCUGGCCUUGUUCAUUAUGGGCACAUCUUAGCUGGAACUAUCAAGGAUAUUGUAACCCGAUUAGCUCAUCAAAAUGGUCUUCAUCUUGAGAGGGGCUUUGGAUGACAUACACAUGGCCUUGCAGUUGAAUGGGGAUUGUCAAUUGCAACGCUGAGGAAAGGAAAAUUGUCAUGCUUUAUCCAGUGGUAUUGGGAGACUGUUGUUAACAGAACGGGACGUUGAAUUGGUAUAUAUUGUGUGAUGGACUUCCUUUUGCUUCUGGCCUGUCUCAUUAUGGGCACAUCUUUGCUGGAAUUACCAAGGAUAUUGUAACCCGAUAUGCUCAUCAAAAUUGCUUUCAUCUUGAGAGGUGCUUUGGAUGAGGGGAUUGGGAGACUAUUGUUAACAGAAUGGGCAGUUCGAUUGGUGUGAAACAGUUUCCUAUUAUUUUUAGUUUCCUACAUCUAGUUUUGUCAAUUAUCGUCUUAAUUUUAUUUUGCAUUAGGUUUCGAGAACAACUACGAAACUCUUCAAUCAUGGUUCAUGGAAUCUACUUGUUGGGUUUUCAAACAACUCUUCGACAAAGGGCUCGUCUACCGUGGAUUCAAAGUUAUGCCUUUUCUCGACCGCUUGUAGUCUACUCUAUUUGGCGUGGGAUUGAUUUCGAGAACGACUAGAAAACUCUUUACUCAUUUAAUGGUGAAUUCUGCCAUCGAUUAGCACAGAUAUCCAAUCUGCUGGUGGUCUGAAAUACUCCUUAUCUACCGCGCUGUUCCUUCUUGGUUCAUACUUGUGGAGAAAAUGUCCAAACAGUUGUUGGAAAACAACCAAAACACUUCUUUGAAACAUUUGAUUGAUAUAUCAGAAUUUAAAAUGCAGUGAGUCGGAUGAAAGUGGUGUUUGAACUCGGACGUAUUCUUCGUGAUCGCCGCAUUCGGCCCAUUAAAUACCCCUUGCGAAGUGAUUUUUAUCCUCCGUGAGCAAAAAUCUUUGAAUGAAAUAUGGACUAUGGAACGAUAUAUUCUGGAAGAGUUGUCUGUGUUCUCAAGCUGACCAUCGACAAGAACAAUUUUGGAGUCCGUCUACGUGCAGAGCCUGAUCACCGCAUCAAAACACGACUCAGUUAUCGAUUGUCGCUCAAAUAAUUUGCAGUAUCCUUUACCGGAAGGGAUUGAUAUCCUCCAUGAGCAAGAAUGCCACCGACAAGAAUAGUUUUGGAGUCAGUCUACGUGAAGAGCUUUGAUCACCGCAUCGAAGCGCGACUCAAAGGGGUGAAUUCAAGGCUGUUGUGGAUGCAAUCAAGACUCUAACGGAUGAGCAGCUCCAAGGAUUGUUAACUGAAGGCCAGAUUGUUGUUUUGGGUAACACGAUGGGUCCAGAGGAUUUGUGGAUCUUUUACCAGUUCAUCAAUUCAACUUUCUUGAAAUUAUAUUGAUUUCGAAUUCGAAUAAUACAUUGUAUUUAAUUCCACAAUGACAUGAUAAAG
Molecule: long non-coding RNA, 1642 nt
Filed under: Daphnia magna
Lineage: Eukaryota; Metazoa; Arthropoda; Branchiopoda; Diplostraca; Daphniidae
Description: uncharacterized LOC116926186
Source: RNAcentral